GAUGAACGCUGGCGGCGUGCCUAAUACAUGCAAGUCGAGCGAACGGACGAGAAGCUUGCUUCUCUGAUGUUAGCGGCGGACGGGUGAGUAACACGUGGAUAACCUACCUAUAAGACUGGGAUAACUUCGGGAAACCGGAGCUAAUACCGGAUAAUAUUUUGAACCGCAUGGUUCAAAAAUGAAAGACGGUCUUGCUGUCACUUAUAGAUGGAUCCGAGCUGCAUUAGCUAGUUGGUAAGGUAACGGCUUACCAAGGCAACGAUGCAUAGCCGACCUGAGAGGGUGAUCGGCCACACUGGAACUGAGACACGGUCCAGACUCCUACGGGAGGCAGCAGUAGGGAAUCUUCCGCAAUGGGCGAAAGCCUGGCGGAGCAACGCCGCGUGAGUGAUAAAGGUCUUCGGAUCGUAAAACUCUGUUAUUAGGGAAGAACAUAUGUGUAAGUAACUGUGCACAUCUUGACGGUACCUAAUCAGAAAGCCACGGCUAACUACGU
RNAcentral lists this ribosomal RNA (496 nucleotides) under uncultured bacterium. Its description in RNAcentral is "partial 16S ribosomal RNA". It matches the Rfam family "Bacterial small subunit ribosomal RNA", at positions 28 to 506 of the family's 1533-position model. The record is from RNAcentral.